Non-coding RNA from Heligmosomoides polygyrus, 45 nucleotides. NCBI's taxonomy places the organism in Eukaryota, Metazoa, Nematoda, Chromadorea, Rhabditida, Heligmosomidae. The record is from Rfam.
CCAACGGCCCUCUUUAGGGCCACACAUAUGUGCUACACGAAUCGA